AUGGGCGACGCCACGGCCCCGGCGUCGGCGAGCAGCAAGACGGCGGAGCUGGACGCGCCGCUCAGCGCCCUCGGCUUUGAGAUCGAGGAGGUCUCGCCGUCGCGGCUCACCGGCCGCCUCCUCGUCACGGACACCUGCUGCCAGCCGUUCAAGGUGCUCCACGGCGGCGUGUCGGCGCUGAUCGCGGAGGGCCUGGCGAGCAUGGGCGCGCACAUGGCCUCGGGCUACCGCCGCGUCGCCGGCAUGCAGCUCAGCAUCAACCACUUCCGGAGCGCCGCCGCCGGCGACACCGUCCUCGCGCGGGCCGUCCCCGUCCACAUCGGCCGCUCCACCCAGGUAUGGGAGGUGAAGCUCUGGAAGAUGGAUGCAUCCACGCAGGGGGAAGGGCCUCAAAUCGCAGAGGCAAGGGUCACGCUCCUCUGUAAUCUACCCGUGCCGGAUGAGAUGAAAAGCGCAGGAGAACCCCUUAGAAAAUACUCUAAACUCUGA
RNAcentral lists this ribosomal RNA (489 nucleotides) under Triticum aestivum (bread wheat). RNAcentral describes it as "partial small subunit ribosomal RNA". The record is from RNAcentral. Lineage: Eukaryota; Viridiplantae; Streptophyta; Magnoliopsida; Poales; Poaceae.